This 1974-nucleotide long non-coding RNA is filed under the name Homo sapiens (human). RNAcentral's name for it is "HSALNT0037735". Lineage: Eukaryota; Metazoa; Chordata; Mammalia; Primates; Hominidae. The record is from RNAcentral.
AAAAGAAAGGCUUGAUUCAAGUGUGUUGGAUGGAAGAGCUAAGUGGUUUGAGGCAAAGAUGCCUCUUGGGGAGCCCUUGGGCUCUGUAAACAGCUGUUGGAGAGAUCUUUCCAGAACUGGCUCCCCUAGUAGCUUUGGGCUUUGAUUCACAGGCCACAAUUGCUAUAUACCCAGGUCUUUUCAGGAACAUGUCUGUAUCCAGGCAGGUCCAUGCAGAAACUAUAAUCUAGUUUUAGUCCUAAGGAUGCUAGUAACCUUUGUGUGGCCUGCCACACUGAAUCAGCUAGAGAUUCCUAGGCCUCAAGUCUCCUCAGAUCCUGAUUCAGCAGGGGUGUGUGUGGACAUCUGCAUGUCAAAUCUCCCAGGGAAUGCUGGGCCAGCCAGGCUAGUGACCCCCAGAAACCCUGCCCCGUGUAGGAGCACAGCAGCCUGGUAGAGUGAUUAUAACUGUGGGCUCAGGUGCUGAUGGCCAGGGUUUAUAUCCUGGGUCCUGCAGUUUUAGUAACUGUGGCACCUUGGCUUGUUACUUAGACACCCUGUGCCUCAGUUUCCCCAUCUUUAAAAUGGAGAUAAUGGUGGUGGGGAAAUCAGGAUGCUGUGACAAGGAUUAAAUGAGUUGCUGCACCAGAACCUCAGCUCACACUUUACAAAGCUGGGUGGAUGGGUGGGGUGCCUAGUUUUUGGCUACCUCUUGUAUGUUCCUUGAGCCUUGGCUCUAACGAAGCCAGAGCCUUGGCCCCGCUUGCAGGGGGAAGGCAGAAGUCUCUCUCAGACUCCCCUCCAAGACACAGAUCCCUUCCCCCCAGGAGCCCACAAUUCAGUGGAGACAACAUAAGCCAGACACACACACAGGAGGGACUUUUUUCCAAAACGCAAAUGAGUGCAAAAGACAGUUUCUAUGGUUACUACACACACCUUUAAAAAAAGAGAAGGGUGCGUGUGUGUGUACGUGUGUGUUUAACACGAGACAGAACCCAAAGACCACCUUGAGAUUGCUUGCAGUAGACAGCCAGAAGGGAGGAUAGGCAGAGGGGUGGACUGCCCACCACAUGCCCUUGGCGUGGCCUUGACCUACAGCUACUUCCAUGGCUGAACCAGGAAGCAAGAAGCCUCCUCCAGUGGUUGUCAGCCACACAAUGCCAAGGGCCAGUCCCUUCCAGGCCAAACCAGAGACAGGGAUGUGAUUCUCCAGUUCAUUUUAGUCAGCUAUGAAACCUCAGCCCUGCUGCAGGGGUAGGGGAAGAAAUCAGUAUGUGUAUGGCCAGCAAUUAUCACACAUUUCCUAAAAUGUAAUGUGUUCACUGCUUAGCUCUUCAGCUUAAGUGACCGAAUGAAGAUUCCUUUUCCCUGGAAUCACUCUGUGACUGUCAGGGCCAUCAGGGAGUGAGAAACUCACUUGAGGAUGCUGAGUAUUUGUGAAUUUAUCUCCUCUUUAAGAUACAGGCCCCAGAUUCUGGCCCCUGGCAGUUUCCCUGCAUUGUCUUGAGUCUGGAGCUUUCUGCUUGGGUGGGUCUCAGAAAUCUUACUGAUUUCUGCUUUUUUGCCCACUAAAGGAGAUAAUUUCACUGCUAAACGGGUCAAAUUCUCUUCUGAGGAUGGGUCUAAAUUCUUGCUAAAUAUACCUGAAUUAACUCUGUCACUGUCUAAAUAUUUGUGUGUCCCCAUAAAUUCCUAUGUUGAAAUCCUAACCCCCCAGGUGAUGGUAUUGGAGGUGGGGCCUUUGGGAGGUGAAGACGUCAUGAGGGUGGAGCCCUUAUGAAUGGGAUUAAUGCCCUGAUCAAAGAGGCCCAGAGCUCACUCUUGCCUCUUCUGCCAUGUGAGGACACAGUGAGAAGACGGCUGACCACGAACCAGGAAGAGGACCCCCACGGCUGCUAGCACAUUGAUCUCAGACUCCUCAGCUUUCAGAACUGUGAGGAAGCCAUGAGGACAGAGCCCUUACAAAUGGGAUUCAUCACUUUCUAAAAGAUGUGU